GCUGGAGUGGCGGAAUUGGCAUACGCGCUGGUCUCAAAAACCAGUGAGGGUAACCUCAUGAGGGUUCAACUCCCUCCUCCAGCA
Molecule: transfer RNA, 84 nt
Filed under: Candidatus Omnitrophota bacterium
Lineage: Bacteria; Pseudomonadati; Candidatus Omnitrophota
Description: tRNA-Leu
Rfam family: tRNA
About the family: Transfer RNA (tRNA) molecules are approximately 80 nucleotides in length. Their secondary structure includes four short double-helical elements and three loops (D, anti-codon, and T loops). Further hydrogen bonds mediate the characteristic L-shaped molecular structure. tRNAs have two regions of fundamental functional importance: the anti-codon, which is responsible for specific mRNA codon recognition, and the 3' end, to which the tRNAs corresponding amino acid is attached (by aminoacyl-tRNA synthetases). tRNAs cope with the degeneracy of the genetic code in two manners: having more than one tRNA (with a specific anti-codon) for a particular amino acid; and 'wobble' base-pairing, i.e. permitting non-standard base-pairing at the 3rd anti-codon position.
Source: RNAcentral